RNAcentral lists this non-coding RNA (45 nucleotides) under Echinostoma caproni. The record is from RNAcentral. Lineage: Eukaryota; Metazoa; Platyhelminthes; Trematoda; Plagiorchiida; Echinostomatidae.
ACACUGCUGAUGAGUCCCGAACAGGACGAAACAGCUGUCCAGUGC